GACGAACGCUGGCGGCGCGCUUAACACAUGCAAGUCGAACGGAAAGGCCUGCUUUCCCUUGUGGAUUGCGGGUACUCGAGUGGCGAACGGGUGAGUAACACGUGAGUGACCUGCCCCCAACUUGGGUAUAAGCCUGGGAAACUGGGUCUAAUUCCCGAUAGGACUGCAGGGUGGUGCCUGUGGUGGAAAACGAUUUUCUAGUGGUUGGGGAUGAGCUCGCGGCCUAUCAGCUUGUUGGUGGGGUAAUGGCCUACCAAGGCGGCGACGGGUAGCCGGCCUGAGAGGGUGGACGGGCACAUUGGGACUGAGAUACGGCCCAGACUCCUACGGGAGGCAGCAGUGGGGAAUAAUGCACAAUGGGCGGAAGCCUGAUGCAGCGACGCCGCGUGGGGGAUGACGGCCUUCGGGUUGUAAACUCCUUUCGACCGCGAGGAAGCCACCUGGUUGGAAGGGUGGUGACGGUAGUGGUAGAAGAAGCACCGGCUAACUACGUG
RNAcentral lists this ribosomal RNA (494 nucleotides) under uncultured bacterium. Its description in RNAcentral is "partial 16S ribosomal RNA". It matches the Rfam family "Bacterial small subunit ribosomal RNA", at positions 28 to 507 of the family's 1533-position model. The record is from RNAcentral.